RNAcentral lists this ribosomal RNA (534 nucleotides) under Triticum aestivum (bread wheat). RNAcentral describes it as "partial small subunit ribosomal RNA". Lineage: Eukaryota; Viridiplantae; Streptophyta; Magnoliopsida; Poales; Poaceae. The record is from RNAcentral.
AUGGUGUGGUCCAUCCGCUUGCCCCUGAAGAUCCGUAUCUUCAUGUGGCAAUGGAUUCGCGGACGGGUCCCGUCCGGGGUGGAGGUGCGCAAGCGAAAUGGCCCGGGUACUGGCAUCUGCCCGCUCUGUGGGGUCCCCGAAGACUCGAACCACAUAUUCUUCUCCUGCGUAUCCGCCCAGUUCCUUUGGAGCUGCUUUCGCGAAGCGGUCGGUGGAAAUUGGUGCCACACCAACUUCCCGGACCUAUUUGCCGAACUCCAGAUGCCCCCCGUGACUUCUCGCCACAUUAGGUGGCUUGAGAUUGGGGCUCUCGCCUGGACCCUCUGGACUGUCCGCAAUAAGCUUGUGAUUCAGCGCACUCCUCUUCGACAGGCUACUGACGCUCUUUUCAAACUCUCGGGUUUCUUGCAGCUUUGGCGGCCGCUUAGCUGCCCCCUGGACCGCGACGCCAUCUCAGCCUUCAUCGCCGACCUCCGCUCGAUGGCCGUCCGCCUGUCGCCACCGCCCCCGCCGCCACCGCCGGAACUAGACUAG